RNAcentral lists this small nuclear RNA (158 nucleotides) under Sorex araneus (European shrew). Its description in RNAcentral is "U2 spliceosomal RNA (ENSSARG00000017913.1)". It matches the Rfam family "U2 spliceosomal RNA". From Rfam's summary of the family: U2 is a small nuclear RNA (snRNA) component of the spliceosome (involved in pre-mRNA splicing). Complementary binding between U2 snRNA (in an area lying towards the 5' end but 3' to hairpin I) and the branchpoint sequence (BPS) of the intron results the bulging out of an unpaired adenosine, on the BPS, which initiates a nucleophilic attack at the intronic 5' splice site, thus starting the first of two transesterification reactions that mediate splicing. Lineage: Eukaryota; Metazoa; Chordata; Mammalia; Eulipotyphla; Soricidae. The record is from RNAcentral.
AUUACUUCUCAACCUUUUGGUCUAAGAUCAAGUGAUUGUCUGUUCUUAUCUAUUUAAUAUCUGAUAUGUCCUCUAUCUAAGGACAGAAUACUAAAUGGACUUUUGGAGCAGGGGGUUGUAAUAGGAGCUUGCUCUGUCAACUUUAUUGUCAACUCAUU